RNAcentral lists this ribosomal RNA (497 nucleotides) under uncultured bacterium. Its description in RNAcentral is "partial 16S ribosomal RNA". It matches the Rfam family "Bacterial small subunit ribosomal RNA", at positions 28 to 507 of the family's 1533-position model. The record is from RNAcentral.
GAUGAACGCUGCCGGCGUGCCUAAUACAUGCAAGUCGAGCGAACGGACGAGAAGCUUGCUUCUCUGAUGUUAGCGGCGGACGGGAGAGUAACACUUGGAUAACCUACCUAUAAGACUGGGAUAACUUCGGGAAACCGGAGCUAAUACCGGAUGAUAUUUUGAACCGCAUGGUUCCAACGUGAAAUAAGGUAUUUCUGUCGCUUAUAGAUGGAUCCGCGCUGCAUUAGCUAGUUGGUAAAGUAACGGCUUACCAAGGCAACGAUGGUGAGCCGACCUGAAGGGGUCGUUCGCUAGACGGUAACUGAGACACGGUCCAGACUCCGACGGGAGGCAGCAGUAGGGACUCUUCCGGAAUGGGCGAAAGCGUGAUGUAGCAAAGCCGCGUGAGUGAUGAAGGACUCCGGAUGGUAAAACUCUGUUAUUAGUGAAGAACAUAUGUGUUAGUAACGGUGAACAUCAUGACGGUACCUAAUCAGAAAGCCACGGCUAACUUCGUG